GUGGGUUAUGGGGAUAUGAAGCCCAUCACUGUUGGGGGCAAGAUAGUGGGUUCCCUGUGUGCCAUAGCAGGGGUCUUGACAAUAGCACUGCCCGUGCCAGUCAUAGUCUCCAAC
Molecule: non-coding RNA, 114 nt
Organism: Pelobates cultripes (western spadefoot toad)
Lineage: Eukaryota; Metazoa; Chordata; Amphibia; Anura; Pelobatidae
Source: the annotation of a GenBank genome assembly